RNAcentral lists this long non-coding RNA (316 nucleotides) under Brachypodium distachyon (stiff brome). RNAcentral describes it as "long non-coding RNA (BDIS_LNC002258)". The record is from RNAcentral. Lineage: Eukaryota; Viridiplantae; Streptophyta; Magnoliopsida; Poales; Poaceae.
ACAAAUACAAUUAUACAAACACAUACGUGUACCCGAACUUUAUAAGGUGGCGGCUAGGAUCGACGGCCAUCAUGGCCUUUAGCUAAAGCCGCCUUGAUACCUGACACAGAAAGACACAUGGGAUGGAAAGACAUCAGCCCAGCUGGAGGACAGCAAAUGGAGAAACGAAUAAUUAAGGGGCUGCGCAUCUGGUUGUGGCUUCAAAUCUUAAGUAUCCAAUUGGCUCAAUCGUUCGAAUCAGCUGCUGGCGUGAGGAACCGGAUUGGAACAUUAGGGGCAAAUAUCAUUUUGCUAAAGAAAGUUUAUCCAAGCAAGA